GCCGGAGUCGGUCGGUUAUCCACUUCCUAAUGGAGAGGUCGCGGGUUCGAAUCCCGCCACCGGCG
This 65-nucleotide transfer RNA is filed under the name Nocardia puris. Its description in RNAcentral is "tRNA-Arg". It matches the Rfam family "tRNA". From Rfam's summary of the family: Transfer RNA (tRNA) molecules are approximately 80 nucleotides in length. The record is from RNAcentral. Lineage: Bacteria; Bacillati; Actinomycetota; Actinomycetes; Mycobacteriales; Nocardiaceae.